This 697-nucleotide long non-coding RNA is filed under the name Panax ginseng (ginseng). RNAcentral describes it as "long non-coding RNA (PGIN_LNC002160)". The record is from RNAcentral. Lineage: Eukaryota; Viridiplantae; Streptophyta; Magnoliopsida; Apiales; Araliaceae.
UCUAUUUGGGUGGAUAAACCAGAUAAUUUGGUCAAUUCAUGAUUUUUUGUUCCUCCAUUUAUAACUCUCAGAAACAAUCUUCUCUUCUUUUUAAACUUCUACAUAGCUGGGAACUAAGUUUAUUAAAGAUAAAAAUAUCCAACAAAAUUGGCCAAAACCUCUUUGGUGAAUUGCAGGCAUGGAAAAUGAAGGGAUGAGUAAGUCUUAGGAGUUUGUACCAGGCAAGGAUAGUAAUUCUUUAUUGUAGAAUCAUGUUGAAGUAAUUCUUUGUUAAACAUUAUUGUAGAAUCUGCAUUAUCUGUUACUUUAUUUUAUAUUUGAUACUGAUUGAGGGCUCAGUUAAACUAGGAAAGAGUCAACUUAAAUGGCCGCAGUUAACCACUGUCAUUGUCAUCGCCCGGCUAUGUUGAUAACUUCUUGGACUGAUUUGAAUCCUGGUCGUCGAUUCUAUGGAUGUCAAACUGCAAAAGUAAGUAAUUUAUAUUCAAUUUCCUUUAAUAUGGAGUUUGUUCUCAAAUAAAUUCUUUUUUGACAGCCUCAUGGUUGCGGGUAUUUCAUGUGGUAUGAUCCUCCGAUGCAGCCGAGAGCUAUUCAAGUGAUUCCUGGUUUGUUGAGGAAGUUGAGGGCUCUUGAAGAUGAAGCUCAAAAUGUUAGACGCAAACAUAGGAUUUACAAGAUAAUCAUAUGGGUUUCCUUG